This 486-nucleotide ribosomal RNA is filed under the name uncultured bacterium. Its description in RNAcentral is "partial 16S ribosomal RNA". It matches the Rfam family "Bacterial small subunit ribosomal RNA", at positions 30 to 507 of the family's 1533-position model. The record is from RNAcentral.
AUUGAACGCUGGCGGCAUGCCUUACACAUGCAAGUCGAACGGCAGCACGGGUGCUUGCACCUGGUGGCGAGUGGCGAACGGGUGAGUAAUACAUCGGUACAUGUCCUGCAGUGGGGGAUAGCCCGGCGAAAGCCGGAUUAAUACCGCAUACGAUCUACGGAUGAAAGCGGGGGACCUUCGGGCCUCGCGCUGUAGGGUUGGCCGAUGGCUGAUUAGUUAGUUGGUGGGGUAACGGCCUACCAAGGCGACGAUCAGUAGCUGGUCUGAGAGGACGACCAGCCACACUGGGACUGAGACACGGCCCAGACUCCUACGGGAGGCAGCAGUGGGGAAUUUUGGACAAUGGGCGAAAGCCUGAUCCAGCAAUGCCGCGUGUGUGAAGAAGGCCUUCGGGUUGUAAAGCACUUUUGUCCGGAAAGAAAUCCUUGGCCCUAAUACGGUCGGGGGAUGACGGUACCGGAAGAAUAAGCACCGGCUAACUACGUG